Molecule: ribosomal RNA, 106 nt
Filed under: uncultured Synechococcus sp.
Lineage: Bacteria; Bacillati; Cyanobacteriota; Cyanophyceae; Synechococcales; Synechococcaceae
Description: partial 23S ribosomal RNA
Source: RNAcentral
UCAAGCUACAAGGGCUCACGGUGGAUACCUGGCACACAGAGCGAUGAAAGGAAGUGUUACUUGCGAUAAGUCUCGGGAGCCUGGAAACGCUUUGAUUCUUGAAUUC